This 402-nucleotide long non-coding RNA is filed under the name Numida meleagris (helmeted guineafowl). Its description in RNAcentral is "lncRNA (ENSNMEG00000013317.1)". The record is from RNAcentral. Lineage: Eukaryota; Metazoa; Chordata; Aves; Galliformes; Numididae.
UUACAGAAGAAAGUUACCAUUACUGCUCAGCAUCAGCUUGCCUUGAGAAAUGUCACAUGUGUUCUUAGGAGGAAGCAGCAGGACAAAGAUUGAAUUGGGCCGCCUGAAGACUCUGGUGUUUUCAGUCCUAUCUUAUUGUUCCCCACUUGGAGAUGCAUCAGUGAUGGAAGGGAUGGUGAGAUGGGAUACAGGCAAAGUGGAUUCAGUAUGGCUCACCAAGCUGUGGCUGAUGAGCUGCUACUAGGGCCUCACCCCAUCACCUGGUGUGAUGUUAACUGCCUCCAGAUGACCAAGUCUGCAAUUAAGCAGAGUCAUUGUUGACCAUCAGGUGAGCUGCUCCCCAAGCCUUGCAAACAGUCAUCACUAGAGCUGCAAUUUGAGUACCUAGUGCUAUUUCAUCUG